UACGUAGGGUGCAGGCGUUAAUCGGAAUUACUGGGCGUAAAGCGUGCGCAGGCGGUUUGUUAAGACAGAUGUGAAAUCCCCGGGCUUAACCUGGGAACUGCGUUUGUAACUGGCAAGCUAGAGUGUGGCAGAGGGGGGUGGAAUUCCAAGUGUAGCAGUGAAAUGCGUAGAUAUUUGGAGGAACACCAAUGGCGAAGGCAGCCCCCUGGGUUAACACUGACGCUCAUGCACGAAAGCGUGGGGAGCAAACAGG
Molecule: ribosomal RNA, 253 nt
Filed under: uncultured bacterium
Lineage: Bacteria
Also listed under: 2 other names
Description: partial 16S ribosomal RNA
Rfam family: Bacterial small subunit ribosomal RNA
Source: RNAcentral